RNAcentral lists this unclassified non-coding RNA (650 nucleotides) under Hevea brasiliensis (rubber tree). Lineage: Eukaryota; Viridiplantae; Streptophyta; Magnoliopsida; Malpighiales; Euphorbiaceae. The record is from RNAcentral.
UUCUCCUAUGUUAUGGAUAUGAUACAGAUAUGUUAUGAUCAUACAUGAUAUGAUGUGAUAAGACCAGGAGAGGCCUAAUAAGCCCCCGACUCACUAUUUUUGAUAGAGGAAGACCCGGGGAGUUUCUUUAUGAGUAGGGCACACUAGUUAUGUUAUGUAUUAAGAGGAAGUCUUGAUGAGCAUCUUUAUGAGCCAAGCAAGUUGGUUAUGGGAAAUCACUAGUGACAAAUCUAUCUUAUGUGAAUUUUGUGUGUUGUGAAAAAUCAUGCAUUUGAUUGCAUUGCAUAUAUAUGUAUUGAAUAAAAUGAAAAAUGAUAACUAUUAGUUUACUCAUUAAGCUUCCUAAAGCUUACCCCUUUCUUUUAAUCCAAGAUGAAGUGUUGCAGGAUUAGAGAUAUUUACAAGAAAGGAUAGUAAGAAGUUGAGGUUUAGUAAUUUUAUAUUUACGAUUUGAGGUUUUGUAAUGGACAUGUAAUUAUAAACUAUUAGAUACUAUGCUUGGUUUUAGUGGAUGUCAGUAUGUAAUAUGUAAGAACAAUAAUUGUAGGUAUGUUUGCCUUAAUCCAUAAGCACUCUCUUUUGAUUAUGUAAUAUGUAAGAACAAUAAUUGUAGGUAUGUUUGCCUUAAUCCAUAAGCACUCUCUUUUGAU